GCUGGGCAUGGUGGCUCAUGCCUGUAAUCCCAGCACUUUGGGAGGCUGAGGCAGGCGGAUCACCUGAGGUCAGGAGUUCGAGACCAGCCUGGCCAACAUGGUGAAACCCUGUCUCUA
Molecule: non-coding RNA, 117 nt
Organism: Gorilla gorilla gorilla (western lowland gorilla)
Lineage: Eukaryota; Metazoa; Chordata; Mammalia; Primates; Hominidae
Rfam family: Metazoan signal recognition particle RNA
About the family: The signal recognition particle (SRP) is a universally conserved ribonucleoprotein. It is involved in the co-translational targeting of proteins to membranes. The eukaryotic SRP consists of a 300-nucleotide 7S RNA and six proteins: SRPs 72, 68, 54, 19, 14, and 9.
Source: Rfam